GACGAACGCUGGCGGCAGGCUUAACACAUGCAAGUCGAGCGCCCCGCAAGGGAGCGGCGGACGGGUGAGUAACGCGUGGGAAUCUGCCCUUUGGUGUGGGACAACCACGGGAAACUGUGGCUAAUACCGCAUGAGCCCGAGAGGGGAAAGCCGCAAGGCGCCGAGGGAUGAGCCCGCGUCGGAUUAGCUAGUUGGUAGGGUAACGGCCUACCAAGGCGAUGAUCCGUAGCUGGUCUGAGAGGAUGAUCAGCCACACUGGGACUGAGACACGGCCCAGACUCCUACGGGAGGCAGCAGUGGGGAAUAUUGGACAAUGGGGGAAACCCUGAUCCAGCCAUGCCGCGUGAGGGAUGACGGCCU
RNAcentral lists this ribosomal RNA (360 nucleotides) under uncultured bacterium. RNAcentral's name for it is "bacterial SSU rRNA". It matches the Rfam family "Bacterial small subunit ribosomal RNA", at positions 28 to 417 of the family's 1533-position model. The record is from RNAcentral.